AUAUCUCGGCUCUCGCCACGAUGAAGAAUGUAGCGAAAUGCGAUACUUAGUGUGAAUUGCAGAAUCCCGUGAAUCAUCAAGUCUUUGAACGCAAGUUGCGCCCGAGGCCUCGGCCAAGGGCACGUCUGCUUGGGCGUCGCACUCCA
RNAcentral lists this ribosomal RNA (146 nucleotides) under Cupressus darjeelingensis. Its description in RNAcentral is "5.8S ribosomal RNA". It matches the Rfam family "5.8S ribosomal RNA". From Rfam's summary of the family: 5.8S ribosomal RNA (5.8S rRNA) is a component of the large subunit of the eukaryotic ribosome. It is transcribed by RNA polymerase I as part of the 45S precursor that also contains 18S and 28S rRNA. Functionally, it is thought that 5.8S rRNA may be involved in ribosome translocation. Lineage: Eukaryota; Viridiplantae; Streptophyta; Pinopsida; Cupressales; Cupressaceae. The record is from RNAcentral.